GCUGGUGUGGCGAAAUGGCAGACGCAGCGGACUUAAAAUCCGCAGGGGCGAAAGUCCCGUGAGGGUUCGAGUCCCUUCUCCAGCA
Molecule: transfer RNA, 85 nt
Filed under: Planctomycetota bacterium
Lineage: Bacteria; Pseudomonadati; Planctomycetota
Description: Planctomycetes bacterium tRNA-Leu
Rfam family: tRNA
About the family: Transfer RNA (tRNA) molecules are approximately 80 nucleotides in length. Their secondary structure includes four short double-helical elements and three loops (D, anti-codon, and T loops).
Source: RNAcentral